GUCCAUGGCAAAGGUGGGACACCCACGGGAAUAAUGAGACAGGCUGAGGAAGCCCUCAAGUCACCCCUGAUGGAGGCCAGACCCUGAAUGUUACAAUCCCUCUGCUUAUUAACCCUUAAUAAAAAUCUGAGCAGGUGUCUGCAGGACACACGCCACUUUCUGGAAAAAGCAUGGAAAAAAAUUCCAGAAGUGCUCCACCAAGAAACUGCAAGAUGGAAGCAGAGAGUACAGGGAAGGAAGGAGGAGACAGAAAGGCUGGAACUUUUGAAUGCACAAACAAAGCAGGCCAUGAAAGAUACCAUGAGCCAAUUAAAAUCUAUGGCUGAAAAUCUGCCAGACACCAUGCAGUUGGAAGAUUUCCCUAGAGACCACAGUGAGGCGGGGAACUUGGAAGCAGAGCUAAGGAGGAAAGCAGAAAAAGAACCACCCCCCAACACACCCUUAAAAAUUAAGUACAUUCUGUAUGUACAGAAAAGAUAGCUAAAUUGUAUGCACACAGGAGGAGCAUUGCCCCCACAAGAAACAGUUCAUCCUAAAUGGUUCAGGUGAAAAGACUUUGGCGAAGGAAGUUUCCUGAGCCGUGAGCAGGGACGAGGGCUCAGACACGUGAUGGGAAGCCUCCCAGAUGCCAUGGUUUCCCAUCCCCAGGUUUCAAGGGUUGGGAAGACGAAGCGAUAUCAUCUGAGCCCAAUAAGGCCCUGUCAAGGGACCAGGUAAAAUUGCCCCCACUUGCUCCCAUCGUCUCAUUGACUACAGGUGCAUGAUCAGCUGCCUGCAAGAGGGCCUGGGCAGUGCAGGCCAGAGGAGGUGCCCUCUAGGGCACAGAGCAGGCAGAAAACAAACUUGGAGAAUGAUCAGCACCCCUGGGUUUAUUUGAAUGAAAGUGUAUGUUUUAUUGCAUUCAUUCACAUCCAUUUAUUUAAUAAACAUCCAUGGAG
Non-coding RNA from Saimiri boliviensis boliviensis (Bolivian squirrel monkey), 938 nucleotides. NCBI's taxonomy places the organism in Eukaryota, Metazoa, Chordata, Mammalia, Primates, Cebidae. The record is from RefSeq and is a predicted model, not a curated record.